This 164-nucleotide small nuclear RNA is filed under the name Carlito syrichta (Philippine tarsier). RNAcentral describes it as "U1 spliceosomal RNA (ENSTSYG00000031276.1)". It matches the Rfam family "U1 spliceosomal RNA". From Rfam's summary of the family: U1 is a small nuclear RNA (snRNA) component of the spliceosome (involved in pre-mRNA splicing). Lineage: Eukaryota; Metazoa; Chordata; Mammalia; Primates; Tarsiidae. The record is from Rfam by way of RNAcentral.
AUGCUUACCUGGCAGCAGAGAUAUGAUGAUCACAAAAGUGGUUUUCCCAGGGCGAGGCUUAUUCAUUGCACUCCAGAUGUGCUGACCCCUGCAAUUUUCCCAAAUGUGGGAAACUCGACUGCAUAAUUUGUGGUAAUGGGGGAUUGCAUUGGUGCUCUCUCCUG